This 339-nucleotide ribosomal RNA is filed under the name Triticum aestivum (bread wheat). RNAcentral describes it as "partial small subunit ribosomal RNA". Lineage: Eukaryota; Viridiplantae; Streptophyta; Magnoliopsida; Poales; Poaceae. The record is from RNAcentral.
AUGGCCCAACUCACUUCUGCAAGGUCAUCCUUGCACCGAAGCUUGAGUGCAUCCCCAUGCCCCUUCACCAAGCACUUUGUCGCGGUGCCGAUGGAGUUCAAGCUCAGGAACAACACCGACUGCUCCUGGAAGGUGACGGUCAAGCUGAUGAACGGCAGGGUGACCCUGGAUCAGGGUUGGGCCACCUACGCAGCCGUUCAUCAGAUCAAGAUCGGCUACAUGGUGACGUUCAAGCUCCUCACUCCCGACACCCUCAAGGUCAUCAUCUUUGACGACGAUGGCAUUGAGGUCGUCAACAAGUGCGGGAAGCACGACGAAGCCUUCACCGCCAAGGAGUAG